Molecule: non-coding RNA, 504 nt
Organism: Danio rerio (zebrafish)
Lineage: Eukaryota; Metazoa; Chordata; Actinopteri; Cypriniformes; Danionidae
Source: RefSeq, a predicted model, not a curated record
AAGACGCCAGAGCCGGAGUUUUGUACAUCCAUUUGCACAGUACUGUACAACAAGUUUCCUUUGCUGAGUUCCUUGGUCAGGGGUUAAACACAUUUUCUGUCCAGUACUGCAGUUGGAAUUUUCCAUCAACAUUUUUAUGUUUUCACAGUACUAGGGUGCAGUAAGAGCACAAACACAGAGUUCAACUUUGAUUCAACUCCGUGAUUCUCUCAAGAGAGGCGACCAAAAUGUCUGACCUGCCAUAAAAUGAUUCGACUAUCUGCCGACCAAGAGAGGUUAUUCACCUUUUUUUCCCUCCUGUACAUUGCAUCAACACAGCACAGCAAAUAUCAAAGUUGAAAUUUAAUUUGAUUCAAAGAAGAGUCGCAUCAGAAUUUGGCUCAAAAUUGCACAAUGCACAUUCGGCCUUAAGCCUGGUUUGUACUUCUGCGUUGAGUGAUUGGCGUGACCUACGGCGCCUGCCCUGCGUGCAGCUGAGCACUUAUACUUGUGCGCGCUGUUUGU